GACGAACGCUGGCGGCGUGCUUAACACAUGCAAGUCGAACGGAAAGGCCCUGCUUUUGUGGGGUGCUCGAGUGGCGAACGGGUGAGUAACACGUGAGUAACCUGCCCUUGACUUUGGGAUAACUUCAGGAAACUGGGGCUAAUGCCGGAUAGGAGCUCCUGCUGCAUGGUGGGGGUUGGAAAGUUUCGGCGGUUGGGGAUGGACUCGCGGCUUAUCAGCUUGUUGGUGGGGUAGUGGCUUACCAAGGCUUUGACGGGUAGCCGGCCUGAGAGGGUGACCGGCCACAUUGGGACUGAGAUACGGCCCAGACUCCUACGGGGGGCAGCAGUGGGGAAUAUUGCACAAUGGGCGGAAGCCUGAUGCAGCAACGCCGCGUGCGGGAUGACGGCCUUCGGGUUGUAAACCGCCUUCGCCUGUGACGAAGCGUGAGUGACGGUAAUGGGUAAAGAAGCACCGGCUAACUACGUG
This 468-nucleotide ribosomal RNA is filed under the name uncultured bacterium. Its description in RNAcentral is "partial 16S ribosomal RNA". It matches the Rfam family "Bacterial small subunit ribosomal RNA", at positions 28 to 507 of the family's 1533-position model. The record is from RNAcentral.